RNAcentral lists this ribosomal RNA (119 nucleotides) under uncultured bacterium. RNAcentral describes it as "partial 16S ribosomal RNA". It matches the Rfam family "Bacterial small subunit ribosomal RNA", at positions 1367 to 1483 of the family's 1533-position model. The record is from RNAcentral.
UACGUUCCCGGGCCUUGUACACACCGCCCGUCACACCACGAAAGUGGGCAACACCCGAAGCCGGUGGCCCAACCCCUUGGGGAGGGAGCCGUCGAAGGUGGGGCUCGCGAUUGGGGUGA